UUUUGUUGAAGAAGAGGCAAAAGGGUCCUCAAUUGAUGAACCUUUUGUUGAAGACAACGAAGAAAGUGAAGCCUAUGAACCAGAAGAAGAAGAAGAAGAAGAUAUUGAAGAAAGUGAAAACUAUGAACCAGAAGAAGAAGAAGAAGAAGAAUUAAUGGAAGGAAACAAUGUGUUAAGUACUGAAGAGAUGAACAAAAGAUUUGAUGAAUUUAUCAGAAAAAUGAAGGAAGGAUUAAGGAUCGAAGCUCAACAACAAUUAGUCAUGCAGGUUUAAUCAUCACCAAAGAAUCAAAAUCUCCAUAUUGUUCAUAUAGUUUCCAUGUUUGUAUAAUAUAUAUAUUUUUCUGUUCUUCUCCUUUUCACUAUAAUUUUGUACAUAAAUGGUAGUAGUUUUAGUAGUCUGAAGCAUUAACCAGACCUGUUGAUGGGAUGGGAUGAUUGGGGAAUCAAAUUUGAAUUAGAAUUAAUCACAUUAAUUUUUCGUACUAAGGUCGAAAUUAGCAGGUCUAGUUAUAGUUAUAGCUCAUUUGCAAUAAAAAUCCUUGUUGUUUUAAAGGAUUAAUGUCGUAGUUUCACCUUAUGUAAACCAUGUGUUUGAUAAUACAAUAUUAGCUCCUUUAGUUUUUGCUUUUAACUCAUGUUGGACUCUUAUUUUAUUUUGAAAUAUUUCGUAUUUAAUAUAUAUCUGAACAUGAUUAUAAGUAGGGGUGGAUGAUUAUAUCAGAACAAUUUUUUAGGGGCGGAUGAAAGUUUUAUUUUUUAGAGUCUAUAUCUUUAUCAUUUUUAAAGGAUUAAAUCGAUUUUUUAUAAUUUUAGGGGGGCUAAAGUAUAAUUUUACCUUUACUAAUUUAAAUUUUAAAAAUAAUUAAGGGCCUAAAUAGUAGUUUUACAUUUUAGGGGGGUUGGGCCCCUGCCAUACCCUAGAUUCGCCACUGAUUAUAAUAAUAUAUUUUUUCAAAAGAAAAUGCACACAUACUUAUACUUAAAAGAUAAAAUAAUUUAUUCGACCCUUCAAUUUUACAAAUAAUAAUAAUAACACUCCAUUUAAUUUCUUAUUUAUUUUAGCUAUUAAACUUGCAUUAUUCACCAAAUCACUUCAAAAUAAAUAGAAAAAUUAACAUUUGUUAACUUUGCUGACAUGACAUGCAUAUGGAAUGGCACGAUGCCACAUCAACAAUUAAUUAUUUUUUAAUUUAAAAAUUCAAUAAAAUUAUUUAAAAGUAUAAAUUUAUAAAAAAAUAUUUUUUUAAAAUUAAUUAAUGACUAACGUAGCAUCCAUGUGGAUUGCCAUAUGGAUACCAUAUCAGCAAAGUUAACAUACAUUAAUUUUUUUCAUCUAUUUUAGCGUAAUUUGACAAACAAUGCAAACCCAAAAGCCAAAAAGGAUAAAAAAAAUUAAUAAAAAUUUAACAUGAUUUAUUAUAAAGUUGAUAGAUCAAAUAAAUCAUUAUACGUAUUUAAAACUCAAAUCUAAAUCCGAGUAACUCUAUCAUUAUAGGUAAUUUUUUUGAACGAUCUCAUUAUAAGUUUUGAUCAUAUCUAUUUUUUAACACAAUGCUACCAAUAGCCCAUAGCCCCUCCUUAACCCAUAAAUAAGAAGAAAAUGCGCUUCAGCUAGCUCCAACCCACGUCCUCUUGCAUUGACAAUAAUACUUAUACUAAUCGAACUAAGACUUCAACCACCAUUUUUUUUCAAAGUAAUUUAGUUGCCAGUAACUUUCAAAUUUAAAGAGAAAAAGAAAAUUCAUGGUGGCAUUUCAAUUUCAUGGACUUAUUUAGGAUCUAAUCAACCAAUUAAAACUAAUUUAUUGAUACAGGUGAAUGAUAGAGAAAAUAAAAUAGUUUAAUAUUUUAUAAUUUUUAAAAUAUUUAUUGACGUGGUAUAUAGACAAAUAGUGUCAUGUUAGCAUGGAGCAUACAUGGACUAUCACGCAGGUUGUCGCGCCAACAUCACUAAAAAUAUAAUGUUUUAGUUAGCAUUUAACUUAAAAAAGUGAUUUGACUGUUUUCAAAAGAUUAAUAAUCAAAUUUAGCUAAAAAAAAGAAUAACAGCUAAAUUGACAAAAGAUGUAAAUGUUGAAGGUUAAAUUUAUCAUUAUAAAGGACUUAAUUUUUUAAUUUUUUAAAAUAGAAAUUAGAUUUUAAAUUUUUUUCUAAGCCUAAAGACUAAUAGUAUAUUUAAACAUAAAAAAAAAGUGUGAUUAAAUCCAAAAGUUUUAAAAGAUGAGAUGAAAUUGAAUGUGGUGCAAAUACUAAUAUUUGAACAUGAUGGCAAUUAGGACUAGUUUUGAUUGAUUUGUUGAUAAGAUUGACUAUGAUGCUUUUUCAACACUUUGGGGUGUCUUUUUGCAAAUAGACAAAUUAUAGUUUGGUAGAGGCCAAAAUUAGUGAUUUAUUUUACUACACAUCACCACAGCAAUAAAGGAAAAUUAAUCUAACAACUAAUCCCCUUUUGACAGCUUCCAAGAUAUUUUGAAUUGCAUUUACACAUAAAUGUCAACAUGAAGUUUCAUCUAUGUUAUGAGAAGAAAAUCAACACUAAUAUUACUUCAAGAAAAAUUUAAAAAAAAAUUGGAAGGUAAAAGUAUAAUGGCAGUUUAAAAUAUUUUAAGGGUCAAAUUAUAUUUUGCUCUAUUUACUAAAAAAAUGGGUAAAUUAGUCUAUGUAACUUAGAUCAAAGAGCAAACUAGUUUUUCUAUUAAAAAUUUCAUCCAUUUCUACUAUUAAAAAUUAGUCCAUGUACAUUAGAAUGAGAUACAUGUGGCACGUUAAGUUUAACUGUUUGGUUAUUCUGUCAAUCACGUCAAUUUUUAACAAUAAAAAUAGAUAAAAAUUUUAAUAGAAAUGACCAAUUUACUUUUUGAUCUAAUGUAUAGGGAAUAACUUGUCCAUUUUUUUAGGGAAUAAUUAUGUGUGUAAUUAGCUAAUCUUAAUAUAUAUAUAUUCUUAGAAAAUCUAAUCUUGGACAUGUAUGGUUUUUUUUUUUUAGUAAAGAAUCCUUAAUUAAAAUGGAAUUCGAGAAAAUUUACUUUUGCAAAAUGUAUCACAAUACCAAUUGUAAACCUCGUUUAGAGAAAGAAGUACAUAAAUAAACUCUAUUAAUUAAAACCCAAAUUCGAUUCAACCUAAUUUAAUAAUAAAAUGUUAACAACUCGAAUCUAAACUGCUUCGAAUUUAAAGUUGAUUUAAAUCCAAUAGAAUUAAAAUCUUAAAUGACUUAAAUCCAAAUAAAUAAUCAAAAUGAUUCAAACCUAAAAUGAUCCAAACUAAAAAAAAUUUAAAUCAUAAAAUCGACAUAAUCCAAAAUUAAAAAAAACCUAAAUUGAAUUACAACAAAACUAAAAAGUACCUAAACCCUCGUCUAAAACCAACUUCACUAAAUUGACAUAUUUACUCUAUAAUAUAAUCAAUUGGGGACCCCCGAAAAGCAAUGGCUUACAUACUAAAACUUUCAUGAAACAGAAAAGGGGUAAUAUCAUUUUUGGUCCGAUAAUGAGGUUUAUUUAGUAUUUGUAUUUCUUUCUCUAUUUUAACACUUGAAUUUGACAACUAAAUUCAUUUUGGUCCCUAAAUUUAAAAAAUUAUAGCGCAACACUUUAAUUUGUGCCACAUCAUCACUUGAAAACUAAAAACAAUUAUAUAAAUUUUUAGGUGAUGACGUGGUACAAUCAUAGAGUGUAACAUACAACAAUCUAAUAAUCGGACUAGUUGGUUAAACCGAUCAAACCAUUGGUGCUCGAUUCGAUCAAUUUGAUCAAUUCAACUGCUAGACAAACAAUGAUUAAAUAAAUAAUUAAAAAUUCAUAAAAAAUAAUUUUUAUUAAACAUGGUCCAUUAUCAGUUUUCAAUUUUGUCAGUUUUGAGUUAUUUUCGAUUCAAUUGGUUCAACCCUUUUGUUUGGACCAAUAUAUCAAUCGGUUCUCGAUCCAGUCAUUUUCGAUCCACCGAUCCGGUCAUGUUCCAAGAACACUAGUUACUUGAUCAAAUAUUGAUAGAAUUCAAGUUCAAGGAUCAAAAUGGAUCUAGUUAUCAAAUUCAAGUGCCAAAGUAAACAAAAAAAAAGUACAAGCAUCAAAGUGAACUUAAUUGCCAAGUUCAAGAAGAUAUUAAGGUAUAACCAAGUAAACCGUCAAGUGAUUGGGUUCAAUGAUUUCAAACCUUGGAGACAACAUUGUCGAAAGGAGCAAGUACAAACCCCAACUCAAUCUGUAAAAUGCGAAGUAAAAAUAAAACUGUAUAACAAGUAAAUAUGAAGAAACUCAACCCUCUGUUCUCCAUUGUCAGCCAUGGCUACCAAUUCGAUCCGAAGUUGAAGAUAUUCUCAUUUUGCAUCACUUUCGGAGGAGACCUUUGGGGUGGUACUGAGGAGAGAAGAAUAUGAAAGCUUUUCUAAAAGCUACUUUCGUAGUUGCGUAACAAAAAAAAUCAUAAUUGAACCACUACUAUUGUAAUUAAAAAAUAUUUUAUAUUGAGAUUAAACCACAACUUGCUAAUUACAUGUUAAACAAUAUCUUUAACAAUAUCUUUCUUCAAAACAACAUCAAUGAAUAUUUCAAUCUAACUUGCUAAUUACAUGUUGAUGGGCUCAAAACGUCUCGGGAGGAAAGGAUACGUCGACAGAAGUGACAGCAAAGCGGCGGUUGAUUUGAUUCAUGGGACCGAUAGGGUUGUACUACCAAGACUGGGUUUGGAAAUUUGCAAUUGGAUAGGGACUGACAAGUUAAGGUUCAAUAUGUGCCAUGAACAACAAAUAUGGCAGCAAAUGCUAUAACCAGAAAGGUUAGGAGUAAUGCAAAGGGAUUUCACUUCUUCAUUCACCCCCUUCAAUGGUUCAAGAUGUAAUGAUAAGAGAUAAAUGUUAAACAACCCAACUUUUAACUUUCUUAGUUGAGCCUUAUAGUUAAACUUCCAUUUCUAUCCAUCUAUCUAUCUAUAUAUAUAUAUAUAUAUAUUUCAAUCAAAGUCCCUUGUGUUGUUAGCCUUAAAAAUUACCAAACCUACAAAUCUCGUUGCAUUCUUCCAAUUUCAAGAUUCCAACACCAAAAAGGAAAGGUUGAAGAAAUAAAAUGGAUCAAACAGAAAAGCAGAAGCAGAAGCAAUCACUGAGUCAGUUCCAUAGAAAACUGACUCGGUUGCUUCUUUCAGUUUCUAUUUUUUCCUUGUUUUUUUCUCAUUCUUUGUUCCAUUCCUUAAACUCCACUUUCCAUGACACACUUGCUUUCAAGUUUCUUAGCCAUAACAUAGAAAAAAACUUCAUAUUUCUUCUUUGCAAUGGCCUCCUUGUUUUCCUUGCAAAAUUUUCUGGACUCAUCAGUUCUUCAUCAAAGCAUAAUAAUGAUCAUCAGUCUUUCAAGAGCUAUGAAUAUGUUACUCAAACUGAGUCAACUAGUUUGGAUCCCAAAACACCAUUGUUAGAGAAGGAAGAAAAUGCUGGUCUUGAUGAAGAAGAGUUAAAACGGGCAUCAGUUGAUGAACCUUUUGUUGAAGAGAUGAACAAAAGGUUUGAUGAAUUUAUCAGAAAGGUGAAAGAAGAAUUAAGCACGGAAGCUUGACAACAGUUAGUCAUUGUUUAUAAUUUGUCAAAUCAUUUCGGGUUUUGGGCAAUGAAUUUUUUAGGUUGGGUAAUGAAGGCAUCGAAGAAUGGCACAGUAGUAAAUCAGGGUUGACGAUGUUUGGGGCCUUGGAACCUUGAUAAAGUUACACGGAGUAAACACAAUCUAACCAACAAGGUCCAGAAGAGCCAGUGGGUGGACAAUGUAUAUUGGCUCACCCAUACACGACGCUGAUGGACACAGUGAAAAAGCUGAGGAUGACGAUGUUUUUGGUAUCGUUAAUGGAGAUCACACUGAUGAAGAAGCUGGCAAAGAUGAGCAAUAUCACUUAACAAGAUUAUUUAAUACAAUUUCAGACUUUUACUAAGCUUUGAACACAUGUUUGAAAUUAUUUUGAACUAUUCCCAAGGUGUUUGAAUUUACCCACAGAAUAAAAUGGGGUUCCAAGGACCUAGAAUGACUAAAAAUACAAGGUGUAGUGGCUUAAGUCUCGAGACUCAGCAACAAAUCCUAAUACUGGGCCUAUAGGUCUUGAGAGUUGGACUUCCUACUACAAAUUUUUACUAUUGACUAGCCAGUCUUGUUACUAGAAGGGUUUAAUCUCAAGACUUAAUGUUGGGGACCUCAAAAUUGGUUCAAAAACACUUUGAAUCAUCCCCAAACAUCAUCAUAUGAUACCAGUAAAUCUCAAAUAAUUUCAAAACCAUUUUAAAGCUCAUUCUAGCUUAAUUUCAAGUUAUACUCAUGUUCAAAUGUCAAAUAAAAUAUUCACAUAAUUUCAAAUGACACAUGGUAACUCAAAUAAAUGUAAUUAUAAACAGUUAUACUAGCCUAAACCUUUAUGUACAUGUCAUUACACCAUCAUAACUAAUACAUAAAAUUAAUUACUUUACAGCCUUCCGACCUCAUACACUAAUGCGAUCCUCCCUAUAUACGAUCUCAAGCUCUUUGGAAAAGUUUUUACCUAUGGGUUAUAACUAACACGUUAAGCUCAAAGAGUUCCAUAAGUACACUCAAGCUUCCUACUUUACCUUAUCUCAUAUAUAUAUAUAUAUUAUUAACCCUGAGUUUAAUUAUUGAGCUUAAUUGAGCUCAAACUCGAGUAGCUCAAGUAUAUCUCGACCCAAGAUCAAACUUAAAAAUAAAUAUUCGAUCAAGUUCAAACCAAGUAUCGAGCUUCAAAUUUCAAGUCGAACUUAACAGUAUUUAGACUCGGAUUAGCUCAAUUCUAAAGCAAAAUAACAGUGGCUUAAAAGAGAGAAAUAUUCAUUUGUAACCCAAAUUAAAUGAGUUGAUGAUAACCAAUUAGAACUAACGUACUGAUAUGGGCGUAUGAUAGAGAAAGGACACUCCUAGCCAAGGACCCUAUCUUAUGGUUCCUAUAUGAUAUCAGGUCUUUUUAGUUCCAUCUAUAAUUGCCUUGUUUUAAUGACAUUAAUUUGGUAUUCCAUUUAUUUUAACAAAUGGUUAAAUUUUGUCGUUAAUCUCUAUACUUCUAUGAACUUUGAGAUUUAGUCCAUAUGUUUUAAAAGUUCUAGUCCAGUCACUAAAACCAUUAGUACUUUUCGUCAAAAUUUGUCAACUCGAUAUUAUAUAAAGGCAGUCUAAUCAACAUGUCAAAUUGGUAUUUUUCUAAAAAAAUACUAACAAUGUUAAUGAUUGGAUGACUUUUUAAGUAUAAUAACUAAAUCUUAAAAAAAAUCGAAUAUACUACUUAUUAGUUAGUUCUUCAUUUUACUUAUAUGAAGCAGCGAUUAAAAUUUUUAUCAAACACCCGUUUGAUACAAGUUCAAAUUAUGUUAUCCUAUCCCAAUAUUUAUUAAGAAAAGUUUUUUUAAUAUAUAUUUACAAAGAAGUCCUAGUUGAAAGAUGGUAAUAGUUAAGGACUUAGACAUUAGAUAUAAAGAGAAUUUUUUUAAAAAAAAAAUCCUAAUUUAAUUAUUAUAAAAGAAGUUGUAUUUGGAAAUUUAAACCCAAACUUGGUAGUUACAAUGUUAAAUAAAUUUUUUUAAAAAUCAAAUAAAAACUCAAAUCAAUUUGAUUCAUCUAUAAAAAGGGCAUACCCCUUUAGUUUCUUAGCCUUACAAAUUACCAAACAUAGACAUCCCAUUGCAUCUUCCAAUUUCAAGUCUCCAACACCAAAAAGGAGAGUUUGAAGGGGAAAAAUGGAUCAAACAGGAAACCAGAAGCAGAAGCAAUCACUGAUGAGUCAGUUCAUAGAAACUCAGUUCCAUAGAAAUCUGACUCAGUUGCUUCUUUCAGUUUCUAUUUUUUCCUUGUUUUUUUCUCACUCAUAUUGCCUUUCCUUGUUCCAUUCCUUUAGCUUCACUUUCCAUAACACACUUGCUUUCAAGUUUAUUAGCCAUAACAUAGAUAAAAACUUCAUAUUCCUUCUUUGCAAUGGCCUCCUUGUUUUCCUUGCAAAAUUUUCUGGACUCAUUAGUUCUUCAUCACAGCAGAGUAAUCUUAGUGAUGAUUACUAUAAUCAUCAGUCUUUCAAAAGCUAUACAUACAUCCCUCAAACUGAGUCGACCCGCUUGGACACCUCAACACCAUUGUUGGACUUGGAGAAGGAAGAAAACGCUGGUUUUGUUGACGAAGAGGCAAAAGGGUCCUCAAGUGAUGAACCUUUUGUCGAAGACAAUGAAGAAAGUGAAACCUAUGAACCAGAAGAAGAAGAAGAAGAUAUUGAAGAAAGUGAAAACUAUGAACCAGAAGAAGAAGAAGAAGAAUUAAUGGAAGGAAACAAUGUGUUAGUACUGAAGAGAUGAACAAAAGAUUUGAUGAAUUUAUCAGAAAAAUGAAGGAAGGAUUAAGGAUCGAAGCUCAACAACAAUUAGUCAUGGUUUAAUCAUCAUCAAAGAAUCAAAAUCUCCAUAUUGUUCAUAUAGUUUCCAUGUUUGUAUAAUAUAUAUGUUUUUCUGUUCUUCUCCUUUUCACUAUAAUUUUGUACAUAAAUGGUAGUAGUCUUAGUUGUAUGAAGCAUUAACCAGACCUGUUGAUGAGAUGGGAUGAUUCUGGGUCGAGUCGGGUUUUCUUAUUUAAGUUUAGUAUUCGGGUUCAAAUCAUUUUUAUUUAGUUCUUUCUUGAGUUUAAUAUUAAACGGAUUCAAACUGUUGAUUUUUAUGAUAAAAACUGUGUUGAAUCAAAUUUGAAUUAGAAUUAAUCACAUUAAAUUUUCGUACUGAGGUCGAAGUUAGCAGUUCUAGUUAUAGCUCAUUUGCAAUAAUAAUCCUUGUUGUUUUAAAGGAUUAAUGUCGUAGUUUCACCUCAUGUAAAUCAUGUGUUUGAUAAUACAAUAUUAGCCCCUUUAAUUUUUGCUUUUAACUCAUGUUGGACUCUUAUUUUAUUUUGAAAUAUUUCGUAUUUAAUAUAUAUCCAAACAUGAUUAUAAGCAGGGGUGAAGUCAGAACAAUUUUUUAGGGGUGGAUGAAAUUUUUGUUUUUUAUAGUAUUUAUCUUUAUAAUUUUUAAAUGAUUAAAUCGAUUUUUUAUAAUUUUAGGGGGUUAAAAUAUAAUUUUACCUUUACUAAUUUAAAAUUUUAAAAAAAUUAAGAACCUAAAUAGUAUUUUUACAUUUUAGGGGGGCCAGGCUGGCAGGCCCUUGCCAUCCCCUAGAUUCGCCACCGAUUAUAAGAAUAUAUUUUUUUCAAAAGAAAAUGCACACAUACUUAUAUUUAAAAGAUAAAAUAACUUAUUCGACAAUUCAAUUUUACAAAAUAAUAAUAAUAAUAACACUCCGUUUAAUUUCUUAUUUAUUUUAGCUAUUAAACUUGUAUUAUUCGCCAAAUCACCUCAAAAUAAAUAGAAAAAUUAACAUUUAUUAACUUUGCUGACUAACAUUCAAAUGGAAUGGCACGAUGUCACAUCAACAAUUAAUUAUUUUUUUAAUUUAAAAAUUCAAUAAAAUUAUUAAAAAGUAUAAAUUUAUAGAAAAUAUUUUUUUAUUUUUUAAAAAUUAAUUAAUUACUAACGUAACAUCCAUGUGGAUGCCACAUCAGCAAAGUUAACAGACAUUAAUUUUUUAUCUAUUUUAGCGUAAUUUGACAAACAAUACAAACCGAAAAGCUAAAAAGGAUAAAAAAAUAAAUGAAAAUUUAAAAUAAUUUUUUUAUAAAGUUGAUGGAUCAAAUAAAUCAUUAUACGUAUUUAAAACUCAAAUCUAAAUCCAAGUAACACUAUCAUUAUAGGUAAUUUUUUUUGAACGAUCUCAUUAUAAGUUUUGAUCAUAUCUAUUUUUUUAAACACAAUGCUUAGAAUUACCCAUAGCCCAUAGCCCAUAGCCUAUAGCCCCUCCUUAACCCAUGAAUAAGAGGAUAAUGCGCUUCAGCGCGCUCGAACCCACGUCCUUUUGUAUUAACAAUAAUAUUUAUAUCAAUCGAACUAAAACUUGAAGGACAAUUUUUUUCAAAGUAAUUUAGUUGCCAAUAACUAUUCAAAUUUAAAGAGAAAAGGAAAAUUCAUGGUGGCAUUUCAAUUUCAUUUUAGGAUCUAAUCAACCAAUUAGAACUAAUUUAUUGAUACAGAUGGAUGAUAGAGAAAAUAAAAUAUUAAAUGGGAAACUCCUAUGCCUCUAUGUAUCUUAUGGUUCCUAUCUUAUAUCUGGUCUUUUCAAUUUCACUUUCAAUUGUUUUAAUCACAUUAAUUUAGUAUCCUAUUAGGUUGCAUCUGUAUCAAUUGUACACUUGAUUAUAUUUUUUAUGAUUUUUUUUAAUUUUUAUAACAAAUAAUUGAUAAUUUUAUUAUGAGAUUAUAACAUUUUUAAUUUUAAAAUUUAUUUUUUAAAGAAAAAUACUAUUUUUUAAGGAAAAAUAUUAAAAAACCGAUGCAAUAUUUGUUUUGAACAAUCUCAAUUAUGUUCAUAUUUGCUAUUUUUAACAUAAUGGCUAAAACUACUCAUAGUUCAUUCCCAAUCCAUAGCUCCUAAAACUACCAUCAACCUUUCAAAAAAAAGUCAAAUUGUUGUAUUUUUAACGAAAAUAUUGAAUAAAAUAUUAAAUUUUUAAGCAUGGCAGUUCGCAUGACAAUUCAUGUGUACUUCAUGUUUUUUUUAAUAUUUUAUAAUUUUUAAAUUAUUUGCUGACGUGGUACAUAGAUAAAUAGUGUCGUGUAUAUGUUACCAUGGAGCAUACAUGGACUACCACGUAGGUUUUCGCGCCAACAUCGCUAAAAAUAUAAUAUUUUAGUUAGCAUUUUCAUUAAAAAAGUGAUUUGGCUCUUCUCAAAAGAUCAAGAAUCAAAUUUAGCUACAAAAAAAAGAAUUACAGCUAAAUCGACAAAAGAUGUAAAUAUUGAAGGCUAAAUUUAUCAUUAUAAAGGACUUAAAUUUUUUAAUUUUUUAAAUUAGAAAUUAGAUUUUAAUUUAUUUUCAAAGCCUAAAGACUAAUAGUAUAUUUAAACAUAAAAAUUAGAAAAAUUGUGAUUAAAUCCAAAAGUUUUAAAAGAUGAGAUGAAAUUGAAUGUGGUGCAAAUACUAAUCUUUGAACAAAAGGUUUGAUGAAUUUAUCAGAAAGGUGAAAGAGGAAUUAAGCACGGAAGCUUGACAACAGUUAGUCAUUGUUGAUCAUUUGUCAAAUCAUUUCGGGUUUUGGGUAAUGAAUUUUUUAGGUUGGGUAAUGAAGGCAUCGAGGAAUGGCACAGUAGUAAAUCAGGGUUCACGAUGCUCGGGGCCUUGGAACCUUGAUAAAGUUACACAGAGAAAACACAAUCUAACCAACAAGGUCCAGAAGAGCCAGUGGGUGGACAAUGUAUAUUGUGUUGGGUAUGGGUCCCACUAUGUGGGAAACCCAUAUUUUCUGCCAUAAUGUUUUGUCUUUCUAUUAUUAUUGAGUGUCAAAUUCUCAAUUUAAAAGAGAGAAAAACAGAGAGUGAGAUUGAAGCUCGUUGGAGAAAAAGAGAGAAUAAAAAAAAAAUCAAUUUUUCAAGCUUGGUGCAGCAGUGAUCAACUCCUCGAUCGAAGGUCCAUCCGUGGUUCGAUUGAGCUGAUUUUUGGACAACAGCUAGAUGAUAAGGUGUUCUUGACUUUGUACAGUCAGAUUUUUCAUCCGAGUCUUGUAGCGUCGGAAAUACCCAUUUUUCAGCAGCUACAUUUUUGGUGAUGUUCUCUCAUUUUUCUCUCUUUUGCCAAAGAUUACAUAUUGUUAGCCUUGUCGGAGUUGAAUGCUUGUUGUAGGCUUGAUAUUGUGAUCUUGUAGUUGAACAUUUGAUGAUAGUGGAACUCUUGAUCGGACUCUAAAGUCCCAUGGUUUUUACCCUUGAUUUAGAAGGGGUUUUCCACGUAAAAAUACCGGUGUCUCUAUUUAUUUUUGUUGUGGUUGCAUUAGUUGAUUUGUGGUUGAUUAAGGUUGCUAGAGAACAUAUCUUGUGCUAUUGUGCUUGCCAUAAUUUUUGACAGGAGUUAUAAGGAGAGAAAGAACACCGGUUGUGCUUUCGCUUUGUUUCGGUUGUUCGGUUUCUUCCCAACAAACUGGUACCAGAGCUUGGUUAUUGUGUCAGAUAAUUAUGGAAAUUAAUACGAGCAAGAUGAUUAUGUUGAAUGGCACAAAUUAUCAACUUUGGCGGAAUGAAAUGAAGGACUUAUUGUUUGUGAAGGCUUUGCAUCUUCCGGUCUUUACUACUCAAAAACCCGAUUCGAAAAGUGAUGAAGAAUGGGAAUUUGAGCAUCAACAAGUGUGUGGCUUUAUUCGGCAAUUUGUUGAAGAAAAUGUUUACAACCACAUUGAUCAAGAGACACAUGCUCGAACAUUGUGGGAGAACCUUGAAAGCUUGUAUGCUUCGAGGUCGGGCAAUAACAAGUUGUUUUUGCUGAAGAAAAUGAUGGCGCUGAAAUAUAAAGAAGGAAUGUCUAUAGCUGACCAUGUUAGUGAAUUUCAGAGUGUGAUGAAUCAGUUGCUUGGUAUGGGUGUCAAAUUUGAUGACGAGAUUUUAGGACUUUGGUUGCUUGCUACUCUACCAGACUCUUGGGAGACCUUUCGAGUCUCACUCAUUAAUUCUGCCCCACAGGGUAUUAUUACUUUGGAUUUGGCUAAGAGUGGUGUGUUGAAUGAAGAGGUUAGAAGAAGAUCUCAGGGUUCUACAUCACAGUCCGAGGUGUUGGUUAUCGAGAACAGGGGGAGAAACAGAGACAAAGAUGGAAAGGGUAGAGAUAAAAGCCGAAGCAAGUCAAGAUCGAGAUACAAGAAUCUUGAGUGUCAUCAUUGUGGUAAGAAAGGUCAUAUCAAGAAAUAUUGCUUCAAGUGGAAGAAAGAGAACAAAGGUGGUGGUGAUAAACACGAUCGGAAUGACGAUGAAAAAUCUGAGCGUGUUGCUACUGUUACUCGUGAAGAUCUGUUAGUUAUUUGUGAUGAGAAUUUGGUCAACCUAGCAUGCGACGAGACUAGUUGGGUGAUUGAUACUGGUGCAUCACUUCAUGUCACAUCGAGGAAGGAAUUCUUCACAUCUUAUACUCCUGGUGAUUUUGGGCUAUUGAAGAUGGGUAAUGAUGGUUUGGUUUCGGUUAUUGGUAUGGGAGAUGUUAGCUUGGUAAGUAACAAUGGAACAAAGUUAACUCUCAAGGAUGUCAGACAUGCACCGGAUGUCCGUUUGAAUUUGAUUUCUGCAGGAAAACUUGAUGAUGAGGGAUUCUGUAACACCUUCAGUGAAGGGCAGUGGAAGCUGACUAAAGGCUCAUUGGUUGUGGCUCGAGGAAAGAAGAGCUCAAAUUUGUACUUGAUGCAAGCUUUGACUUCUCGAGAGACGGUGAAUGUGACACUGAAUGACAACUCAACUGAGUUGUGGCAUAAACGACUCAGUCACAUGAGUGAGAAGGGGCUUAGCUGUUUAGCGAAGAAGAAUCAACUUUCGGGUUUAAAGAAUGCUACACUGAAGAAUUGUGCUCAUUGUCUAGCAGGAAAGCAGAAAAGAGUUUCAUUUAGAAGCCAUCCUCCUCAUAGGAAAUCAGAGUUGCUAGAGUUGGUCCAUUCAGAUGUUUGUGGUCCGAUAAAAGUAAGAUCACAUGGUGGUGCACUUUACUUUGUGACUUUCAUUGAUGAUUGUUCAAGAAAGCUAUGGGUUUACACUUUGAAGUCUAAAAAUCAAGUCUUUGAGGUGUUUAAACAGUUUCAAGCAUCAGUUGAAAGGGAAACUGGGAAGAAGUUGAAGUGCAUUCGUACUGAUAAUGGUGGCGAGUACACAGGGUCGUUUCAUGAGUAUUGUUUGCGACAGGGAAUCAGACAUCAGAGAACACCACCAAAGACUCCACAGUUAAAUGGGUUAGCUGAAAGAAUGAACCGAACAUUGAUUGAGAGAGUCAGAUGUUUGUUGUCAGAUGCAAAGUUACCAAGAUCGUUUUGGGCUGAAGCUUUGAAUACAGUGACACAUGUGAUAAAUCUGUCUCCUAGUGUUCCUUUGAAAGGUGAUGUGCCAGAUAGAGUUUGGUUUGGUAAAGACGUGUCAUAUGAUCACCUACAUGUGUUCGGUUGUAAAGCAUUUGUUCAUGUUCCAAAGGAUGAAAGAUCCAAGUUAGAUGCCAAGGCUCGACAAUGCAUUUUUAUUGGUUAUGGUCUAGAUGGUGAGUUUGGUUAUAGACUCUAUGAUCCAGUUCAGAAGAAACUCGUGAGAAGCAGAGAUGUUGUCUUCAUUGAGGAUCAGACCAUUGAUGACAUUGAUAAGACGGAGAAAGUGGAUUCACAAGGUAGUGGUGACUUGAUCGAUGUGAAUCCGGUUCCCCUAGACUCUUCACCAGAUCCUAUCCAGGAUGAUGUGCAUGGUGAUGUUAGUGGUAACCAUCAGACUAUAGGUGACUUUGAUACUCCCAUGGAUGAUGUUGUGAAUGAUCAACAACAAGCACCUAUAGCUCCACCAGCAGUUCCACUUCGAAGGUCUUCCAAAGAUCGACGAUCUUCUGUCAGGUAUUCUCCUGAUGAAUAUGUUCUUUUGACUGACGGGAGAGAACUUGAAUGUUAUGAAGAGGCUAUGGAGAGUGAAUGCAAAGAUCAGUGGGUUGAAGCGAUGAAAGACGAACUUCAAUCCUUGCAUGAGAACCAUACUUUUGAAUUGGUGAAACUGCCUAAGGGCAAAAGAGUUUUGAAUAAUCGGUGGGUUUACAGGUUGAAGCAAGAAGAGAAGUCUUCAUCUCCACGAUACAAAGCUAGAUUGGUCGUCAAGGGUUAUACUCAGAAAAAGGGGGUUGAUUUUGAAGAAAUAUUUUCUCCGGUUGUGAAGAUGUCCUCUAUCAGAACUAUACUGAGUUUGGUAGCUUGUUAUGACCUAGAGGUUGAACAAAUGGAUGUGAAAACUGCUUUUCUUCAUGGUGACUUGGAAGAAGAGCUUUACAUGGAGCAGCUAGAGAGUUUUGUUGCACAAGGGAAAGAGGACUAUGUGUGCAGAUUGAAGAAGAGCUUGUAUGGUUUGAAGCAAGCUCCAAGGCAAUGGUACAAGAAGUUUGAGUCUGUUAUGGGGGAGCAAGGCUACAAGAAGACUACUUCUGAUCAUUGUGUGUUUGUUAAGAGAUUCUCUGGUGAUGAUUUUAUUAUUCUUUUGCUCUAUGUUGAUGAUAUGCUUAUUGUUGGUCAGAAUGCUUCUAGAAUUGAGAAGUUGAAACAAGAGUUGAGUAAAUCCUUUGCAAUGAAGGAUUUGGGGCCAGCAAAGCAAAUUCUUGGCAUAAGACUGACACGUGAUAGAAAGGCCAAGAAAUUAUGGUUAUCACAAGAGAGGUACAUUGAGAAAGUACUUCAAAGGUUUAGUAUGGACAAAGCUAAAGCGGUGAAUACUCCCUUUGCUAUGCACUUUAGAUUGAGUGUUAAGUAUAGUCCUUCCACAGAAAAGGAGAAGGAAGAGAUGCAGAAAAUUCCUUACUCUUCAGCCGUGGGUAGUUUGAUGUACGUAAUGGUUUGCACGAGACCAGACUUGGCUUAUGCCGUUGGUACAGUUAGUCGGUUUCUUUCUAAUCCAGGCAGAGAGCAUUGGAAUGCAGUGAAGUGGAUUAUGAGAUAUCUUCGUGGCACUUCCAACAUGAAACUUUGUUUCGGCAAUGAGAAACCUGUUCUUGUUGGGUAUACAGAUUCAGACAUGGCCGGAGACAUUGACUCGAGGAGAUCUACUUCAGGUUACUUAAUCACUUAUGCAGGGGGAGCUGUGGCAUGGCAAUCGAGACUGCAAAAGUGUGUUGCAUUGUCCACCACCGAAUCAGAGUUCAUUGCAGCAACCGAAGCGUGUAAGGAGAUGCUUUGGAUGAAGAAGUUUGUGUAUGAGCUUGGUUUUACUCAGGAGAAGUAUGUCCUGUACUGUGAUAGCCAGAGUGCUAUUCAUCUUGGUAAGAACUCAACUUUUCAUGCUAGAUCUAAGCAUAUUGAUGUGAGGUACCAUUGGAUACGAGAUGUUCUUGAAGCUAAGCUGUUAGAGCUUGAGAAGAUACACACUAAUGAUAAUGGUGCUGAUAUGUUGACGAAGGCCUUACCAAGAGGAAAGUUUGAAGCAUGUUGUUUGACCUCCGGCAUGGAGGCAUUCCCCACAUAGUUGGAGGGGGAGAUUUGUUGGGUAUGGGUCCCACUAUGUGGGAAACCCAUAUUUUCUGGCAUAAUGUUUUGUCUUUCUAUUAUUAUUGAGUGUCAAAUUCUCAAUUUAAAAGAGAGAAAAACAGAGAGUGAGAUUGAAGCUCGUUGGAGAAAAAGAGAGAAUAAAAAAAAAUCAGUUUUUCAAGCUUGGUGCAGCAGUGAUCAACUCCUCGAUCGAAGGUCCAUCCGUGGUUCGAUUGAGCUGAUUUUUGGACAGCAGCUAGAUGAUAAGGUGUUCUUGACUUUGUACAGUCGGAUUUUUCAUCCGAGUCUUGUAGCGUCAGAAAUACCCAUUUUUCAGCAGCUACGUUUUUGGUGAUGUUCUCUCAUUUUUCUCUCUUUUGCCAAAGAUUACAUAUUGUUAGCCUUGUCGGAGUUGAAUGCUUGUUGUAGGCUUGAUAUUGUGAUCUUGUAGUUGAACAUUUGAUGAUAGUGGAACUCUUGAUCGGACUCUAAAGUCCCGUGGUUUUUACCCUUGAUUUAGAAGGGGUUUUCCACGUAAAAAUACCGGUGUCUCUAUUUAUUUUUGUUGUGGUUGCAUUAGUUGAUUUGUGGUUGAUUAAGGUUGCUAGAGAACAUAUCUUGUGCUAUUGUGCUUGCCAUAAUUUUUGACAGGAGUUAUAAGGAGAGAAAGAACACCGGUUGUGCUUUCGCUUUAUUUCGGUUGUUCGGUUUCUUCCCAACAUAUUGGUUCACCCAUACACGACGCUGAUGGACACAGUGAAAAAGCUGAGGAUGACGAUGUUUUUGGUAUCGUUAAUGGACACAGUCAAAUUCAAAUUUAGUAAUAUUUCACUCAAACAACUCACGAGCUUCAUCGAACAUUUAAUUUUUUUAUAUUAUUAAAUUAUGUUAUUACCAUUCACAUAUAUUAUUAACCCUAAGCUUAAUUGAGUAUAAAAUUGAUAAAUGAGCUCAAAAUCGAAUAGCUUAUAUAUGAUAUCUUAUGGUUCCUAUAUGAUAUCAAGUCUUUUUAGUUCCAUCUAUAAUUGUUUUGCUUUAAUGACAUUAAUUUGGUAUUCCAUUUAUAUUAACAAAAUGUUAAAAUUUUGUUGUUAGUCUUUAUACUUUUCUAAAAUUUGACAUUUAGUCUAUAUACUUUAAAUGUAAAUAAUUUAAGUAUCUUACUUUUUCAAUUUAAAAAUCCUUGUGCAAUCACUAAAACCGUUACUAGUUUUCGUCAAAAUUUAUCAACUUGGUAUUAUACGAGGGUAGCCUAAUUAGUAUGCCAAAUUGACAUUUUUUUCGAAAAAUACAAACGAUAUUAAUAUCUAAAUUGAGAUUUUUAAAUUGAAAGUACAAUGACGGAAGAUAUUGUAACACCCCUUAUAUGGUUCGACUACCGACAUGGAAUAGCAAUAUCACUUAACAAGAUUAUUUAAUACAAUUUCAGACUUUUAUCAAGCUUUGAACACAUGUUUGAAAUUAUUUUGAACCAUUCCCAAGGUGUUUGAAUUUACCCACAACAUAAAAUGGGGUUCCGAGAACCUAGAAUGACAAAAAAAAAUACAAGUUUUGAAGGUGUAAUAUUGGCUUAAGUCUCGAGACUUAGGCAACAAAUCUCAAUACUGGGCCUAUAGGUCUUGAGACUUGGACUUCCUACUACAAAUUUUUACUAUUGACUUGCUAGUCUCGUUACUAAAAGAGUUUAAUCUCAAGACUUAAUGUUGGGGAUCUCAAAAUUAGUUCAAAAACACUUCGAGUCAUCCCAAACAUCAUUAUAUGAUACCAAUAAAUCUAAAAUAAUUUCAAAACCAUUUUAAAGCUCAUUCUAGCUUAAUUUCGAGUUAUACUCAUGUUCAAAUGUCAAAUAAAGUAUUCACAUAAUUUCUAAUGACACAUGGUAACUCAAAUAAAUGUAAUUAGAAACGUUAUGCUAGCCUAAUCUCAAGCUCUAUGGAAAAGUUGUUAAGCUCAAAGAGUUUCAUAAGUGCACUCAAACUUCCUACCUUACCUUAUCACAUAUAUAUAUUAUUAACCCUAAGUUUAAUUAUUGAGCUUAAUUGAGCUCAAACUCGAGUAACUCAAUUAUAUCUCGACCCAAGAUCAAACUUAAAAAUAGAUAUUCGAUCAAGUUCAAACCAAGUAUCGAGCUUCAAAUUUCAAGUCAAACUUAACAGUAUUUAGACUCGAAUUAGCUCAAUUCUAAAGCAAAAUAACAGUGGCUUAAAAGAGAGAAAUAUUCAUUUGUAACCCAAAUUAAAUGAGUUGAUGAUAACCAAUUAGAACUAACGUAUUGAUACGGGCGGAUGAUAGAGAAAGGACACUCCUAGCCAAGGCCUCUAUGUAUCUUAUGGUUCCUAUAUGAUAUCAGGUCUCUUUAGUUCCAUCUAUAAUUGUCUUGUUUUAAUGACAUUAAUUUGGUAUUCCAUUAAUUAUAUUAACAAAUGGUUAAAUUUUGUCGUUAAUCUCUAUACUUCUAUGAAAUUUGAGAUUUAGUCCAUAUGCUUUAAAAGUUCUAGUUCAAUCACCAAAACCGUUAGUAUUUUUCGUCAAAACUUGUCAACUCGACAUUAUAUAAAGGCAGUCUAAUCAACAUGUCAAAUUGGUAUUUUUCUGAAUAACACUAACAAUAUUAAUGAUUGGAUGAGUUUUUAAGUAUAAUAACUAAAUCUUUAAAAAAAAUCGCAUAUACUACUUAUUAGUUAGCUCUUCAUUUUACUUAUAUGAAGCGGUGAUUAAAAUUUUUAUCAAACACCCGUCUGAUAUAAGUUCAAGUUAUGUUAUCCUAUUCCAAUAUUUAUUAAGAAAAGUUUUUUUAAUAUAUAUUUACAGAGAAGUCCUAAUUGAAAGAUGGUAAUAGUUAAGGACUUAGACAUUAGAUAUAAGGAGAAAUUUUUUUUAUAAAAAAUCCUAAUUUAAUUAUUAUAAAAGAAGUUGUAUUUGGAAAUUUAAACCCAAACUUGGUAGUUGCAAUGUUAAAUAAAAUUUUUAAAAAAUCAAAUAAAAACUCAAAUCAAUUUGAUUCCUCUAUAAAAAGGGCAUACCCCUUUAGUUUCUUAGCCUUACAAAUUACCAAACAUAGACAUCCCAUUGCAUCUCCCAAUUUCAAGUCUCCAACACCAAAAAGGAGAGUUUAAAGAGGAAAAAAAUGGAUCAAACAGGAAACCAGAAGCAGAAGCAAUCACUGAUGAGUCAGUUCAUAGAAACUCAGUUCCAUAGAAAUCUGACUCAGUUGCUUCUUUCAGUUUCUAUUUUUUCCUUGUUUUUUUCUCACUCAUAUUGCCUUUCCUUGUUCCAUUCCUUUAGCUUCACUUUCCAUAACACACUUGCUUUCAAGUUUAUUAGCCAUAACAUAGAUAAAAACUUCAUAUUCCUUCUUUGCAAUGGCCUCCUUGUUUUCCUUGCAAAAUUUUCUGGACUCAUUAGUUCUUCAUCACAGCAGAGUAAUCUUAGUGAUGAUCACUAUAAUCAUCAGUCUUUCAAAAGCUAUACAUACUUCCCUCAAACUGAGUCGACCCGCUUGGACGCCUCAACACCAUUGUUGGACUUGGAGAAGGAAGAAAACGCUGGUUUUGUUGACGAAGAGGCAAAAGGGUCCUCAAUUGAUGAACCUUUUGUUGAAGACAAUGAAGAAAGUGAAACCUAUGAACCAGAAGAAGAAGAAGAAGAAGAAGAUAUUGAAGAAAGGGAACACUAUGAACCAGAAGAAGAAGAAGAAGAAGAAGAAGAAGAAGAAGAAUUAAUGGAAGGAAACAAUGUGUUAAGUACUGAAGAG
RNAcentral lists this long non-coding RNA (19801 nucleotides) under Gossypium barbadense (sea-island cotton). RNAcentral describes it as "long non-coding RNA (GBAR_LNC016785)". The stretch from base 2697 to 2841 matches the Rfam family "MIR7502 microRNA precursor family". The record is from RNAcentral. Lineage: Eukaryota; Viridiplantae; Streptophyta; Magnoliopsida; Malvales; Malvaceae.